This 497-nucleotide ribosomal RNA is filed under the name uncultured bacterium. RNAcentral describes it as "partial 16S ribosomal RNA". It matches the Rfam family "Bacterial small subunit ribosomal RNA", at positions 28 to 507 of the family's 1533-position model. The record is from RNAcentral.
GAUGAACGCUGGCGGCGUGCCUAAUACAUGCAAGUCGAGCGAACGGACGAGAAGCUUGCUUCUCUGAUGUUAGCGGCGGACGGGUGAGUAACACGUGGAUAACCUACCUAUAAGACUGGGAUAACUUCGGGAAACCGGAGCUAAUACCGGAUAAUAUUUUGAACCGCAUGGUUCAAAAGUGAAAGACGGUCUUGCUGUCACUUAUAGAUGGAUCCGCGCUGCAUUAGCUAGUUGGUAAGGUAACGGCUUACCAAGGCAACGAUGCAUAGCCGACCUGAGAGGGUGAUUGGCCAGACUGGAACUGAGGCACGGUCCAGACUCCUACGGGAGGCAGCAGUAGGGAAUCUUCCGCAAAGGGCGAAAGCCUGACGGAGCAACGCCGCGUGAGUGAUGAAGGUCUUCGGAUCGUAAAACUCUGUUAUUAGGGAAGAACAUAUGUGUAAGUAACUGUGCACAUCUUGACGGUACCUAAUCAGAAAGCCACGGCUAACUACGUG